Molecule: ribosomal RNA, 442 nt
Filed under: uncultured bacterium
Lineage: Bacteria
Description: bacterial SSU rRNA
Rfam family: Bacterial small subunit ribosomal RNA
Source: RNAcentral
GACGAACGCUGGCGGCAGGCCUGACACAUGCAAGUCGAACGCUCUCUUCGGAGAGAGUGGCAGACGGGUGAGUAACGCGUGGGAACCUACCCAAGGGUUCGGAAUAACUCAGGGAAACUUGAGCUAAUACCGGAUACGCCUUGCGAGGGAAAGAUUUAUCGCCCUUGGACGGGCCCGCGUCGGAUUAGCUUGUUGGUGGGGUAACGGCUCACCAAGGCUACGAUCCGUAGCUGGUCUGAGAGGAUGAUCAGCCACACUGGGACUGAGACACGGCCCAGACUCCUACGGGAGGCAGCAGUGGGGAAUCUUGCACAAUGGGCGCAAGCCUGAUGCAGCCAUGCCGCGUGAGUGAAGAAGGCCCUAGGGUUGUAAGCUCUUUCAGCGGGGAAGAUAUGACGGUACCCCGCAGAAGAAGCCCCGGCUAACUCCGUGCCAGCAGCCG